CUAGGCGUAACACCGGUUGCCUCCCCACCCACAACCCGCCAGAGGAUUACAAGUGAAAAACUUAAAACUCCAAGGACUUGACGGUGUCCUAUCCGUACUAGAGGAGCCUGUCCCAUAAUCGAUACUCCACGCUAUACCUUACCCCCCCUUGCCAGCCAACCUAUAUACCGCCGUCGCCAGCUUACGAUGUGAACCCCAGCCCCCGUAAGCGAGAUCACCCACACAUAAACACGACAGGUCAAGGUGUAGUCCAUGGGGGGGCCGGCGAUGGGCUACAUUUUCUGAUCCAGAAAACACCACCCGCACCAUGAAACUCCUGCCCAAAGGCGGAUUUAAAAGUAAACUUGACAAGAUAUGCCAACUUGAACAAGCCCUAGGACGC
This 382-nucleotide ribosomal RNA is filed under the name Pristurus phillipsii. Its description in RNAcentral is "partial 12S ribosomal RNA". It matches the Rfam family "Bacterial small subunit ribosomal RNA", at positions 796 to 1382 of the family's 1533-position model. Lineage: Eukaryota; Metazoa; Chordata; Lepidosauria; Squamata; Sphaerodactylidae. The record is from RNAcentral.